RNAcentral lists this unclassified non-coding RNA (227 nucleotides) under Hevea brasiliensis (rubber tree). Lineage: Eukaryota; Viridiplantae; Streptophyta; Magnoliopsida; Malpighiales; Euphorbiaceae. The record is from RNAcentral.
AGACAGCAUGAUGAUGGACUGGCUAUAAGCUAAAUUAUUAUUAUAUUGUCUCUAUAUAAUUGAUGCUUAUAUAGUAAUUUUUAUUUCCAUAUUUGAGGCUUAAAUGACAUUAAUUGAAACUGGGAGUCAAAACUUAUUCAUCUUAGGAUUUUUGUAAUGCUAAAAGUUGUCUACUUGCAACCAACAAAUGCAAUUUUGAGUAUUUAGAGAAGCCGCUUGAGUCCUUG